UGGGGGAUAUUGCACAAUGGGCGAAAGCCUGAUGCAGCGACGCCGCGUGGGGGAUGAAGGCCUUCGGGUUGUAAACUUCUUUUGCUCUGAACAAGGCAUGCCUUUGGGGUGUGUUGAGUGUAGGGGUUGAUUAGCGCCGGCUAACUACGUGCCAGCAGCCGCGGUAAUACGUAGGGCGCGAGCGUUGUCCGGAAUUAUUGGGCGUAAAGGGCUUGUAGGUGGCUGGUUGCGUCUGUCGUGAAAGCUCAUGGCUUAACUGUGGGUUUGCGGUGGGUACGGGCUGGCUUGAGUGCAGUAGGGGAGGCUGGAAUUCCGGGUGUAGCGGUGGAAUGCGCAGAUAUCAGGAGGAAUACCGGUGGCGAAGGCGGGUCUCUGGGCUGUUACUGACGCUGAGGAGCGAAAGCGUGGGGAGCGAACAGG
RNAcentral lists this ribosomal RNA (420 nucleotides) under Fusobacteriota bacterium. RNAcentral's name for it is "Fusobacteria bacterium partial 16S ribosomal RNA". It matches the Rfam family "Bacterial small subunit ribosomal RNA", at positions 355 to 776 of the family's 1533-position model. Lineage: Bacteria; Fusobacteriati; Fusobacteriota. The record is from RNAcentral.